UAUUCCUGAAGGUUUCUCCAAUGAAGGGAGUCAUGAGAUUUGGAAAGAAGGGCAAGUUGGCACCUCGGUAUAUUGGACCUUUUGAGGUUACUGAUAGAGUUGGAGCAGUUGCCUACCGGUUGGAGCUACCACCCAACCUCUCUCACGUUCAUCCCGUGUUUCACAUCUCCAUGCUCAGGAAAUACAUUCCCGAUUCUUCUCAUGUACUACAGCCGGAUGUGAUAGAGCUAAAAGAGAACUUGACAUUUGAGGAGCAACUUGUAGCCAUAGUGGACUACCAAGUGAGACAGCUGAGAUCAAAACAGAUCCCUAUGGUUAAGGUUUUGUGGAGGAGUCAGUUAGUGGAAGAGUGCACCUGGGAGUUAGAACGGGACAUGCGUAGCAAGUACCCUUAUCUGUUCAAUGUAUAAUCAUGUGCUUUAUUCUGCCUUGUGUAAAAUUCGAGGACGAAUUUUCUGUAAGGGGGGAAGAAUGUAACACCCCUGAUUUUUUAUAUAUUAUUAUUGGGCUUCGUGUAGGUAUCCUCAAUUCGCGGAAAUUCGACAGUUGUUCAGAUCUGUGAAUUUCCGGCCAGACAGACCAGCUACCGGAAAAGUCUCCGAAUUGGAUCGAGGUUUUGGCUACCCCACCAUUGUCAGGCAUCCCGAGCGCGUUCCCGAAGUCGGAAUCGGCAAAGGUGAGCCGGGACAGCCUUCUUCCUCCGCCCAGCCGCCAUUGUAAUUUGUCGUCAAGUCUGCCACAGGAGGAUAUUUAUUCUGGGUUAACCUGCUUUUAUACUUCGCAGGUUGUUUAUCGAUAUUUGUGUAAUUUUAUUUACUCCUAGAAUUUCCGCAUGUGUUAGCAGUAAUUAUUUGAAUUUGGUCUGUAAUAUUAUAUUCAUGUUGGACCUGUAAACUUAAUAUUUUAAGUCUGUUUUGAUGGAUUGGAUGAGGAGUGAGCUCCCAUUUAUUAUUAA
This is a long non-coding RNA of Hevea brasiliensis (rubber tree), 955 nucleotides long. RefSeq lists it as uncharacterized. The record is from RefSeq and is a predicted model, not a curated record. The transcript is spliced from 3 exons. Lineage: Eukaryota; Viridiplantae; Streptophyta; Magnoliopsida; Malpighiales; Euphorbiaceae.